Molecule: ribosomal RNA, 441 nt
Filed under: uncultured bacterium
Lineage: Bacteria
Description: bacterial SSU rRNA
Rfam family: Bacterial small subunit ribosomal RNA
Source: RNAcentral
CCUACGGGUGGCUGCAGUGGGGAAUAUUGCGCAAUGGGGGCAACCCUGACGCAGCGAUGCCGCGUGAGUGAAUAAGGCCUUCGGGUUGUAAAGCUCUUUCAGUGGGGACGAUGAUGACGGUACCCACAGAAGAAGCCCCGGCUAACUCCGUGCCAGGCAGCCGCGGUAAUACGGAGGGGGCGAGCGUUGUUCGGAAUUAUUGGGCGUAAAGGGCGCGUAGGCGGUCUGUCAAGUCAGAAGUGAAAGCCCCAGGCUUAACCUGGGAACGGCUUUUGAAACUGGCAGACUUGAGUCCGGCAGAGGGUGGUAGAAUUCCCCGUGUAGAGGUGAAAUUCGUAGAUAUGGGGAGGAAGACCGGAGGCGAAGGCGGCCACCUGGACCGGUACUGACGCUGAGGCGCGAAAGCGUGGGGAGCAAACAGGAUUAGAUACCCGUGUAGUC